UUAAAACCAAAUACCUUUGGACUUUUACUCAAGUAGUAUUUUACUGGGUGACUUUCACUUUUACUUGAGUCAUUUUCUAUUAAGGUAUCUUUACUUUUACCCAAGUAUGACAAUUGGAUACCUUUUCCACCACUGAUUGGAUAUAUGCUGUAUGUUCAAUCAACUCAAGAGGAUAAAUCCUGAAGAUGGAACAAUGUGCAUAACAAUGUGGUCCAGAGGAAGCCAGCUUUUUGUUCUCAAUCCCUACCUUGCCCCAUUCUUCCAAGAGCUCACUGAGUUUGAAUGAAAACCUUGAGUGAGAAAAAUGCCACCACUCAAAUCAUAAUUGAGGAGGUUUGUUAAAGAGCCCCAUCAUGAACAACUGAUGCUGCGCUGAUUUCUCUCUCCUGGAUGCGCUCUGGCCCAAACUGUCCUGUUGUGUGUUUCCCCUCCUCUGGACCCACUUAACCCAACAGAGUUGCCCCUGAUCAUAGAACGGGCUGCAUCACAGCCUGGUAAAGGCAACUCCACCACCGCAGACAGCAAGGCGCUUUAGAGGGCGAUACACGCAGCCGAACGCACCAUUGGGUCCAGGGUCCACACUGCCUGCCAUCCAGGACACCUACAAUACCAGGUGUCGCAGGAAGGCGAAGAAGAACAUCAGGGACCUCAGCCAUCCAAGCCAUGGCCUGUUAGCCCCGUUUCUAUUCAUCAGACGCGGGUAGCACAGGAGUAUUAUGGCAAAGACUGGCCAACAAUUCCUACCCCUAGACCAUCAGGCUGCUGAAUAGCCACCACUACCUGCCCCCCCACACCCCAAUGACAUUCAUCACUGCUGCAGUUAAUACAGUAUGUACUGUAUAUUUGUAUAAUUAUUGUUUUAUUUCACUUGGCCCCAACACCCCCUUCAAUGGCCAUUUAGCCACAAUGGAUAUUCAUUUAGUUAUCACUGCUACAGUUAUUAUGUAUAUAGUACUAUUUCUAUUUUUCUUAUUACCAUUUUCAUUGUUUUAUUUCACUUAGUUCUGCAUGUUGGAGUUCUGAAUCGGAAGAUCUAGGAUUGUACCCAAUCCCAAUUUUAACUCUGUCUCCCUCUCUCUCUUUGUCCCUCUCUCCCCCACAGCCAACAGGCACACAAUAUAGUUUUUACAUUAGUGUUGUAAUGAUUCUCUUAUUUGGUUACAUAUGUGUUAACUUCUUGUUCCUUCUAUUGCAAUUCUGUUGUUAAUUCAUUUUUUAAUGUUGUUACCAAUUUGAAUAAAUGUAUUUUCAUGUACAAAUGUAUUUUUCUUUCAUUUAGAUUACAG
Oncorhynchus tshawytscha (Chinook salmon) is the source of this 1286-nucleotide long non-coding RNA. NCBI's taxonomy places the organism in Eukaryota, Metazoa, Chordata, Actinopteri, Salmoniformes, Salmonidae. The record is from Ensembl.